GCCCCCGGGAAACCGCGGGGGAUGAGCGCCUCGGCGAGCCGUGAUUCCCCUUCGCUCCCCGGGGGCACA
Non-coding RNA from Thermococcus sp. 5-4, 69 nucleotides. The record is from Rfam. Lineage: Archaea; Methanobacteriati; Methanobacteriota; Thermococci; Thermococcales; Thermococcaceae.